CUCAAUGCCCUUUACCGUGUUCAAAUUAAUUGCUUUUAUACAUCGAUCUGCUAAACAAUUGCCGAACGGUUGUAGAUAAAUGUUCAAGUACGCUCGGCACACCUCUCACCUCGCAGCCGCACCCGCUCUCGUUUCAAUUGUUUCGCGAGUUGAAACAUACAAUGGAGUUGAGUCUAUUAACUGUGUUUAAAAUAAUGUCGAAAACCUUAACGGACAUAGUCUUAAUAUUCUAGAGGCUGUACACGUGACUGAAGGCCAGACCAUUAACCAAACUUAAAUCUGUGUUGACGUGAAAAAAGCGCGCGAAAAAUGUCAAGUUGUCAUCUGUCACGUGCAACAAUGGCUUGUGAAUAAGGGAGCUUAUUCACGAAUUUUUAACGAUUUACAUUUCGGAGGACAUCUGUGGAACGUUGUCCGAGGCAAGUAAAUGAAAUAUGAUGCUAUUAGUUUAAAAGCCGUCGGAACUGUACGAUGUUGGUAUUAAUGGCAAAUAAUUGUGAACAAAAGUUAGUUUUAGGUGCACGGCUUGUGGUGUGCACUUUAAGCGAUCUUGUUUUAGAUUAAAUACUAAAUCUAGAGAAUUAUUAUAUAUAUUUUUAAAACUUCUUUUGUGUUCUAUUUUCUAUUCAAGAUUUAAUUGUUAUAAGUAAAGAAUUUAAAUACUAAACAUUUCAUACUUCCAGCGUCACACAACUUAUCGACGAGGAACAAAAAUUUAAUUGGGGCAUAAAAACCGCUACAUAAAUAAUAAUAGUAAAAGAGUAACAUGUUUUGAAACCACCAAUAAGUUUUUUAAAAGAAAUUAUUUUUUUUUGAAACCCGUAUGUAAAGUGA
Pieris brassicae (large cabbage white) is the source of this 834-nucleotide long non-coding RNA. RefSeq lists it as uncharacterized. NCBI's taxonomy places the organism in Eukaryota, Metazoa, Arthropoda, Insecta, Lepidoptera, Pieridae. The transcript has 2 exons. The record is from RefSeq and is a predicted model, not a curated record.